GACGAACGCUGGCGGCAUGCCUAACACAUGCAAGUCGAACGAGACCUUCGGGUCUAGUGGCGCACGGGUGCGUAACGCGUGGGAAUCUGCCCUUGGGUUCGGAAUAACAGCGAGAAAUUGCUGCUAAUACCGGAUGAUGACGUAAGUCCAAAGAUUUAUCGCCCAAGGAUGAGCCCGCGUAGGAUUAGCUAGUUGGUGAGGUAAAGGCUCACCAAGGCGACGAUCCUUAGCUGGUCUGAGAGGAUGAUCAGCCACACUGGGACUGAGACACGGCCCAGACUCCUACGGGAGGCAGCAGUGGGGGAAUAUUGGACAAUGGGCGAAAGCCUGAUCCAGCAAUGCCGCGUGAGUGAUGAAGGCCUUAGGGUUGUAAGCUCUUUUACCCGGGAUGAUAAUGACAGUACCGGGAGAAUAAGCUCCGGCUAACUCCGUGCCAGCAGCCGCGGUAAU
This 450-nucleotide ribosomal RNA is filed under the name uncultured bacterium. RNAcentral's name for it is "bacterial SSU rRNA". It matches the Rfam family "Bacterial small subunit ribosomal RNA", at positions 28 to 524 of the family's 1533-position model. The record is from RNAcentral.